UAUGGAGUUGUUGCUGGCCUCUAGGGGCAUGUGCACGCUUCACUAGUCUUUCAACCACCUGUGAACUUUUGAUAGAUCUGUGAAGUCGUCUUUCAAGUCGUCAGACUUGGUUUGCUGGGAUUUAAACGUCUCGGUGUGACAACGCAGUCUAUUUACUUAACACACCCCAAAUGUAUGUCUACGAAUGUCAUUUAAUGGGCCUUGUGCCUAUAAACCAUAAUACAACUUUCAACAACGGAUCUCUUGGCUCUCGCAUCGAUGAAGAACGCAGCGAAAUGCGAUAAGUAAUGUGAAUUGCAGAAUUCAGUGAAUCAUCGAAUCUUUGAACGCACCUUGCGCCCCUUGGUAUUCCGAGGGGCAUGCCUGUUUGAGUGUCAUUAAAUUCUCAAACUCACUUUGGUUUUUUCCAAUUGUGAUGUUUGGAUUGUUGGGGGCUGCUGGCCUUGACAGGUCGGCUCCUCUUAAAUGCAUUAGCAGGACUUCUCAUUGCCUCUGCGCAUGAUGUGAUAAUUAUCACUCAUCAAUAGCACGCAUGAAUAGAGUCCAGCUCUCUAAUCGUCCGCAAGGACAAUUUGACAAUUUGACCUCAAAUCAGGUAGGACUACCCGCUGAACUUAAGCAUAUCAAUAA
RNAcentral lists this ribosomal RNA (630 nucleotides) under Pleurotus cornucopiae (cornucopia mushroom). Its description in RNAcentral is "eukaryotic LSU rRNA". The stretch from base 224 to 377 matches the Rfam family "5.8S ribosomal RNA". The record is from RNAcentral. Lineage: Eukaryota; Fungi; Basidiomycota; Agaricomycetes; Agaricales; Pleurotaceae.